CCCUUAGAUGUCCUGGGCCGCACGCGCGCUACACUGACAUGUUCAACAAGCCUCCUAGUUCGACAGGAUUUGGGAAAUCUUUGAACGCAUGUCGUGAUAGGGAUAGAUCAUUGCAAUUAUUGAUCUUGAACGAGGAAUUCCUAGUAAACGCGAGUCAUCAGCUCGCAUUGAUUACGUCCCUGCCCUUUGUACACACCGCCCGUCGCACCUACCGAUUGAGUGUUUCGGUGAAGAUUCCGGAUAGGACUUUUUUGAUUUAUUUCAAUUUUGUCUUAAAAGCUAUCUAAACCUCAACAUUUAGAGGAAGGUGAAGUCGUAACA
This 321-nucleotide ribosomal RNA is filed under the name uncultured eukaryote. RNAcentral's name for it is "partial 18S ribosomal RNA". It matches the Rfam family "Eukaryotic small subunit ribosomal RNA", at positions 1470 to 1796 of the family's 1831-position model. The record is from RNAcentral.